This 65-nucleotide transfer RNA is filed under the name Limbodessus palmulaoides. RNAcentral describes it as "tRNA-His". Lineage: Eukaryota; Metazoa; Arthropoda; Insecta; Coleoptera; Dytiscidae. The record is from RNAcentral.
AUUUAAGUAAUUUAAGAUAAAAUGUUGAUUUGUGGUAUCAAGAAUGUAUAAUUAUACCUUAAAUU